Molecule: long non-coding RNA, 270 nt
Organism: Symphalangus syndactylus (siamang)
Lineage: Eukaryota; Metazoa; Chordata; Mammalia; Primates; Hylobatidae
Source: RefSeq, a predicted model, not a curated record
CUGUUCAAUCUACAGGGUUCUUUAAAAGUUUGAGGCAUUUCCUAAACUGUAGCUAACUAUGGAGAAUGUAGCAGAAGUGACAUUGUACAAGUGAAAGACCCUGCACAGCCACCAGGCGAACAGACCAGAAUAGCCUGCUGGAGGACGAGAGUCAAAGCACUCCAGCUGCCAGCCAGCCCUGCCCCUCUGCAAAACCUCAGCUAACCACAGACACAUGAUGUUGAGAUAAUGGGAGACAAAGAAAGAAUGAGGACCUCUCCCAAAUUAGAG